RNAcentral lists this ribosomal RNA (1397 nucleotides) under uncultured marine bacterium. RNAcentral describes it as "bacterial SSU rRNA". It matches the Rfam family "Bacterial small subunit ribosomal RNA". The record is from RNAcentral.
AACGUACGCUGGCGGCACGCCUAACACAUGCAAGUCGAACGAAGUAGCAAUACUUAGUGGCAGACGGGUGAGUAACAUGUAGGUAUCUGCCCUUUGGCCUGGAAUAACACGAGGAAACUUGUGCUAAUACCGGAUAAGUCUUUACGGAGAAAGCUUUAUGCACCAUUGGAUGAGCCUGCACUUGAUUAGUUUGUUGGUGGGGUAAUGGCCUACCAAGACUGUGAUCAAUAGCUGAUUUGAGAGGAUGAUCAGCCACAUUGGGACUGAGACACGGCCCAAACUCCUACGGGAGGCAGCAGUGGGGAAUCUUGCACAAUGGAGGAAACUCUGAUGCAGCGAUGCCGCGUGAGUGAAGAAGGCCCUUGGGUUGUAAAGCUCUUUCGUCGGGGAAGAAAAUGACUGUACCCGAAUAAGAAGGUCCGGCUAACUUCGUGCCAGCAGCCGCGGUAAUACGAAGGGACCUAGCGUAGUUCGGAAUUACUGGGCUUAAAGAGUUCGUAGGUGGUUGAAAAAGUUGGUGGUGAAAUCCCAGAGCUUAACUCUGGAACUGCCAUCAAAACUUUUCAGCUAGAGUUUGAUAGAGGAAAGCAGAAUUUCUAGUGUAGAGGUGAAAUUCGUAGAUAUUAGAAAGAAUACCAAUUGCGAAGGCAGCUUUCUGGAUCAUUACUGACACUGAGGAACGAAAGCAUGGGUAGCGAAGAGGAUUAGAUACCCUCGUAGUCCAUGCCGUAAACGAUGUGUGUUAGACGUUGGAAAUUUAUUUUCAGUGUCGCAGCGAAAGCGAUAAACACACCGCCUGGGGAGUACGACCGCAAGGUUAAAACUCAAAUGAAUUGACGGGGACCCGCACAAGUAGUGGAGCAUGUGGUUUAAUUCGAAGAUACGCGCAGAACCUUACCAACACUUGACAUGUUCGUCGCGACUUUAAGAGAUUAAAGUUUUCGGUUCGGCCGGACGAAACACAGGUGCUGCAUGGCUGUCGUCAGCUCGUGUCGUGAGAUGUUGGGUUAAGUCCCGCAACGAGCGCAACCCUCACUUUUAGUUGCCAUCAUUAAGUUGGGCACUCUGAAAGAACUGCCAGUGAUAAGCUGGAGGAAGGUGGGGAUGACGUCAAGUCCUCAUGGCCCUUACGUGUUGGGCUACACACGUGCUACAAUGGUAUCUACAACAGGAAGCAAGACUGCGAAGUUAAGCAAAUCCCUAAAAGAUACCUCAGUUCGGAUUGCACUCUGCAACUCGAGUGCAUGAAGCUGGAAUUACUAGUAAUCGUGGAUCAGCGUGCCACGGUGAAUGCGUUCCCGGGUCUUGUACACACCGCCCGUCACACCAUGGGAGUUGGUUCUACCUUAAGGCAAGGUUUCAAACCCUUGACCACGGUAUAGUCAGCGACUGGGGUG